This 460-nucleotide ribosomal RNA is filed under the name uncultured bacterium. RNAcentral describes it as "partial 16S ribosomal RNA". It matches the Rfam family "Bacterial small subunit ribosomal RNA", at positions 338 to 795 of the family's 1533-position model. The record is from RNAcentral.
CCUACGGGAGGCAGCAGUGAGGCAUAUUGGUCAAUGGACGAGAGUCUGAACCAGCCAAGCAGCGUGAAGGAUGACUGCCCUAUGGGUUGUAAACUUCUUUUAUAAAGGAAUAAAACGAGGUACGUGUGCCUUUUUGCAUGUACUUUACGAAUAAGGAUCGGCUAACUCCGUGCCAGCAGCCGCGGUAAUACGGAGGAUCCGAGCGUUAUCCGGAUUUAUUGGGUUUAAAGGGAGCGUAGAGGGGUGGUUAAGUUAGUGGGGAAAGUUUGGGGCUCAACCGUAGAAUUGCAGUUGAAACUGGCAGGCUAGAGUUGAGUAGAGGUAGGCGGAAUGCGCGGUGUAGCGGUGAAAUGCUUAGAUAUCACGCAGAACACCGAUUGCGAAGGCAGUUCACUGGACUGCUACUGACGCUGAGGCACGAAAGUGUGGGUAUCAAACAGGAUUAGAUACCCUGGUAGUC